AGAGUUUGAUCAUGGCUCAGAACGAACGCUGGCGGCAUGCCUAACACAUGCAAGUCGAACGCUCUCGGGGCUUCGGUUCCGGGGGAGUGGCGCACGGGUGAGUAGCGCGUGGGAACCUGCCUUCUUGUGGGGGAUAACCGAGGGAAACUUCGGCUAAUACCGCAUGCGCCCGGGCAACCGGGGAAAGAUUUAUCGCAGGAAGAGGGGCCCGCGUCGGAUUAGCUUGUUGGUGGGGUAACGGCCUACCAAGGCUCCGAUCCGUAGCUGGUCUGAGAGGAUGAUCAGCCACACUGGGACUGAGACACGGCCCAGACUCCUACGGGAGGCAGCAGUGGGGAAUAUUGGACAAUGGGCGCAAGCCUGAUCCAGCAAUGCCGCGUGAGUGAUGAAGGCCUUAGGGUUGUAAAGCUCUUUCGCCCGCGACGAUGAUGACGGUAGCGGGAGAAGAAGCCCCGGCUAACUUCGUGCCAGCAGCCGCGGUAAUAC
RNAcentral lists this ribosomal RNA (486 nucleotides) under uncultured bacterium. Its description in RNAcentral is "bacterial SSU rRNA". It matches the Rfam family "Bacterial small subunit ribosomal RNA", at positions 8 to 526 of the family's 1533-position model. The record is from RNAcentral.